AGUUGGUAAGGUGACGGCUUACCAAGGCGACGACGGCUAGGGGGUGUGAGAGCACGACCCUCGCCACUGGCACUGAGACACUGGCCAGACUCCUACGGGAGGCUGCAGUCGAGAAUCUUCGGCAAUGGGCGAAAGCCUGACCGAGCGACGCCGCGUGGAGGAAGAAGGCCUUCGGGUUGUAAACUCCUGUUGGGGGGGAACAAUUCAAUGAGUGAACCCCUGAGGAAGCACGGGCUAAGUUCGUGCCAGCAGCCGCGGUAAGACGAACCGUGCGAACGUUAUUCGGAAUCAUUGGGCUUAAAGAGCACGUAGGCGGCGGCGUAAGUGGGGGGUGAAAGGCUAUCGGCUCAACCGUGGCAUUGCCUCCCAAACUGCGUCGCUUGAGGAAGGUAGGGGCAGGUGGAACUUCCAGUGGAGCGGUGAAAUGUGUUGAGAUUGGAAGGAACGCCAGUGGCGAAAGCGACCUGCUGGAUCUUUGCUGACGCUGAGGUGCG
Molecule: ribosomal RNA, 494 nt
Filed under: uncultured bacterium
Lineage: Bacteria
Description: bacterial SSU rRNA
Rfam family: Bacterial small subunit ribosomal RNA
Source: RNAcentral